RNAcentral lists this unclassified non-coding RNA (240 nucleotides) under soil metagenome. RNAcentral's name for it is "partial contains 5.8S ribosomal RNA, internal transcribed spacer 2, and large subunit ribosomal RNA". The record is from RNAcentral.
AAGACUAUAGACCUGCGGAGUACCUGCGGAAGGAUCAUUAUCGAGUACCGGGGUUUCUUCUUCAAGAGCCCUUACUCCCACACCAUGUGUACGCACCUCUCGUUGCUUUGGCGGGCCGCGCUCGAAAGGGCGCGCCGGCUUUCCGGCCGGACAGCGCCCGCCAGAGGAUCAAUUUACAAAACUCUUGUUUUUUUUCAGUGAAGUCUGAGUUAAACUUGUUAAUUAAGUUAAAACUUUCAA